RNAcentral lists this long non-coding RNA (206 nucleotides) under Actinidia chinensis (golden kiwifruit). Its description in RNAcentral is "long non-coding RNA (ACHI_LNC002832)". The record is from RNAcentral. Lineage: Eukaryota; Viridiplantae; Streptophyta; Magnoliopsida; Ericales; Actinidiaceae.
AAAACAUUAACAUAGAACAGGCUACCUGGUUCAAGGGAUCUCAAACAAGCUAAAUAGCUGCCAGAUAAUUGAAAAGUUAGGGAUGAAACGUACUCUAUAGUUUCUAUGAAUGUUGUACAGGAAUUAGAAACAUGACCGUCAUGUCUUCUCAAAUUAUUUAGAGUCCGGGAAAGUAUAGCCUCCUCAAGUAAUUCUUUUGAUCUCUG